Molecule: unclassified non-coding RNA, 142 nt
Filed under: uncultured Meliniomyces
Lineage: Eukaryota; Fungi; Ascomycota; Leotiomycetes; Helotiales; Helotiaceae
Description: sequence contains ITS2
Source: RNAcentral
CAACCACUCAAGCCUGGCUUGGUGUUGGGGUUCGCCUUCUGGUGGCCCCUAAAAUCAGUGGCGGUGCCGUCUGGCUCUAAGCGUAGUAAUUCUUCUCGCUAUAGGGUCCUGGCGGUGCUCGCCAUCAACCCCAAAUUUUUUA